GAAGAAAAUGAAAGAGAGAAAAGGCUGGAUGAUAUGGAGAGAGUAAAUCAGGAAGUACAAAGGAUAAGUAAGGAUGAAGUGAGGGCAGCUAUCAAAAGGAUGAAUAGUGGAAAGGCAAUUGGUCCACAUGACAUUCCAGUCGAGACAUGGCCAUGUCUUGGAGAAAUGGCAGUAGAGUUUCUUCCCAGAUUGUUUAAUAAAAUCUUGGGAAGUUUGA
This is a long non-coding RNA of Thalassophryne amazonica, 217 nucleotides long. RefSeq lists it as uncharacterized. NCBI's taxonomy places the organism in Eukaryota, Metazoa, Chordata, Actinopteri, Batrachoidiformes, Batrachoididae. The record is from RefSeq and is a predicted model, not a curated record. The transcript has 3 exons.